UGGAGGGCAAGUCUGGUGCCAGCAGCCGCGGUAAUUCCAGCUCCAAUAGCGUAUAUUAAAGUUGUUGCAGUUAAAAAGCUCGUAGUUGAAUUUCGGGGUUCUACCGUUGGUCGGGCUUUGUCUGUACUGGUGUGUAGAAUUUCUACCUUCUGGGGAACCAUCAUGCUAUUAAUUUAGCGCGGUGGGAAACCAGGACCUUUACCUUGAAAAAAUUAGUGUGUUCAAAGCAGGCUUAUGUCUGAAUACAUUAGCGUGGAAUAAUAGAAUAGGACGGUGGUCCUGUUUUGUUGGUUUCUGAAUCACCGUAAUGAUUAAUAGGGAUAGUUGGGGGCAUUAGUAUUCAAUUGUCAGAGGUGAAAUUCUUGGAUUUAUUGAAGACUAACUUCUGCGAAAGCAUUUGCCAAGGAUGUUUUCAUUAAUCAAGAACGAAAGUUAGGGGAUCGAAGACGAUCAGAUACCGUCGUAGUCUUAACCAUAAACUAUGCCGACUAGGGAUCGGACGAUGUUAAUUUUUCUUGACUCGUUCGGCGCCUUACGGGAAAC
This 543-nucleotide ribosomal RNA is filed under the name uncultured Glomeromycotina. RNAcentral describes it as "SSU rRNA". It matches the Rfam family "Eukaryotic small subunit ribosomal RNA", at positions 549 to 1098 of the family's 1831-position model. Lineage: Eukaryota; Fungi; Glomeromycota. The record is from RNAcentral.